GUCUAUGGCCGUGCUCCCCUGAACAAGCCUGAACCUAUCUGAUCUCAGAAGCUAAGCACGGUGGGGCCUGGUUAGUAGUUACAUGGGAGACCACCUAGGAAGACCAGGUGCUGUAGAUG
This is a ribosomal RNA of Pteropus vampyrus (large flying fox), 119 nucleotides long. NCBI's taxonomy places the organism in Eukaryota, Metazoa, Chordata, Mammalia, Chiroptera, Pteropodidae. The record is from Ensembl.